Non-coding RNA from Ceratotherium simum simum (southern white rhinoceros), 196 nucleotides. Lineage: Eukaryota; Metazoa; Chordata; Mammalia; Perissodactyla; Rhinocerotidae. The record is from RefSeq and is a predicted model, not a curated record.
ACAGAUGGUUGUGAUGAAGCUGACCACCCUUCUGAAGUGGUCGACGGUGGCCUGGACGGUGGGUGCCAGGUGCUCAUUGCCGUGCUUGUUCCUCUUGCCCCAGGUGGAGCCCAGGCACUGAGAGGGCAGCACCUUCCGGAAGAGCUCCUGGGGAACAAGGGGAGUGUCACCCAGCCCUGCCACAUGCCAGCUCUGU